RNAcentral lists this ribosomal RNA (635 nucleotides) under uncultured bacterium. RNAcentral describes it as "bacterial SSU rRNA". It matches the Rfam family "Bacterial small subunit ribosomal RNA", at positions 8 to 620 of the family's 1533-position model. The record is from RNAcentral.
AGAGUUUGAUCCUGGCUCAGAACGAACGCUGGCGGCGUGCUUAACACAUGCAAGUCGAACGAGAAAGUUUUCUUCGGAGAAUGAGUAAAGUGGCGCACGGGUGAGUAACGCGUAGAUAACCUGCCCUGAUGUCUGGGAUAACCCUUCGAAAGGGGGACUAAUACCGGAUAAGCUGGUUGCUUAUAAGAGUAAUCAGGAAAGAUGGCCUCUGAUUUAAGCUAUCGCAUUUGGAGGGGUCUGCGUACCAUUAGCUUGUUGGUGGGGUAAGGGCCUACCAAGGCAACGAUGGUUAGCGGGUCUGAGAGGAUGAUCCGUCACACUGGCACUGAAACACGGGCCAGACUCCUACGGGAGGCAGCAGUGAGGAAUAUUGCGCAAUGGGGGCAACCCUGACGCAGCGACGCCGCGUGAGUGAGGAAGGCCUUCGGGUCGUAAAGCUCUGUCAGAAGGGAAGAAGUGCUAUAUGGUUAAUACCCAUGUAGUUUGACGGUACCUUCAAAGGAAGCACCGGCUAACUCCGUGCCAGCAGCCGCGGUAAUACGGAGGGUGCAAGCGUUGUUCGGAAUCACUGGGCGUAAAGGGCGCGCAGGCGGUUUGAUUAUUCAGAUGUGAAAGCCCACGGCUUAACCGUGGAA